GGCUCAGGACGAACGCUGGCGGCGUGCCUAACACAUGCAAGUCGAGCGGGACAUACGACGGAGCAGAAGUUUCGGAUGGAAGCGAAGAUGUAUGUUCUAGCGGCGGACGGGUGAGUAACGCGUGAGCAACCUGUCCCUCACAGGGGGAUAACACAGCGAAAGUUGUACUAAUACCGCAUAAGACCACAUUGGGACAUCCCAGAGGGGUCAAAGGAGCAAUCCGGUGAAGGGUGGGCUCGCGUCCGAUUAGAUAGUUGGUGAGGUAACGGCCCACCAAGUCGACGAUCGGUAGCCGACCUGAGAGGGUGAUCGGCCACAUUGGGACUGAGACACGGCCCAAACUCCUACGGGAGGCAGCAGUGGGGAAUAUUGGGCAAUGGGGGAAACCCUGACCCAGCAACGCCGCGUGAGGGAAGAAGGUUUUCGGAUCGUAAACCUCUGUCCUUGGUGAAGAGUGAGAGACGGUAGCCAAGGAGGAAGCCCCGGCUAACUACGUGCCAGCAGCCGC
RNAcentral lists this ribosomal RNA (508 nucleotides) under uncultured bacterium. RNAcentral describes it as "bacterial SSU rRNA". It matches the Rfam family "Bacterial small subunit ribosomal RNA", at positions 21 to 518 of the family's 1533-position model. The record is from RNAcentral.